GUCCCUAGCUCUGUGGUGGAACAUCUGCCCUGUAUGCACAAGGUCCCAGGUUCAAUCCCUGAUGGGAGAGACU
Non-coding RNA from Podarcis lilfordi (Lilford's wall lizard), 73 nucleotides. The record is from the annotation of a GenBank genome assembly. NCBI's taxonomy places the organism in Eukaryota, Metazoa, Chordata, Lepidosauria, Squamata, Lacertidae.